This is a small nucleolar RNA of Gadus morhua (Atlantic cod), 92 nucleotides long. Ensembl annotates it as small nucleolar SNORD12/SNORD106. The record is from Ensembl. NCBI's taxonomy places the organism in Eukaryota, Metazoa, Chordata, Actinopteri, Gadiformes, Gadidae.
GAUGUGUUUAGUGAUGCUCAACUUUUUUCCCCGUCUAAUCGACCAUGGUGAAAGUCAAUUGAAAAUAAGCCAAUUGUGUCUGAAUCCACAUC